RNAcentral lists this ribosomal RNA (254 nucleotides) under uncultured bacterium. RNAcentral describes it as "partial 16S ribosomal RNA". It matches the Rfam family "Bacterial small subunit ribosomal RNA", at positions 524 to 776 of the family's 1533-position model. The record is from RNAcentral.
CACGUAGGCACCAAGCGUUGUCCGGAUUUAUUGGGCGUAAAGAGCUCGUAGGCGGUUCAGUAAGUCGGGUGUGAAAACUCUGGGCUCAACCCAGAGCCGCCACUCGAUACUGCUGUGACUUGAGUUCGGUAGGGGAGCGGGGAAUUCCUAGUGUAGCGGUGAAAUGCGCAGAUAUUAGGAGGAACACCGGUGGCGAAGGCGCCGCUCUGGGCCGAUACUGACGCUGAGGAGCGAAAGCGUGGGUAGCAAACAGG